RNAcentral lists this long non-coding RNA (1333 nucleotides) under Homo sapiens (human). RNAcentral's name for it is "HSALNT0375221". Lineage: Eukaryota; Metazoa; Chordata; Mammalia; Primates; Hominidae. The record is from RNAcentral.
UUUUUUUUUUAAAGUGAAAGGAAGUUUGGACUGAGAAGUCAAAGUCCUUCCCUCUGUGUGUGGACUUCAGUGGAACUCUCAGGUCACAGAGAUUCAGGGUGGUCAGAGGCGGUUUGAUGUUUUGGGGAGAAAGAACAGCCGUGAAGGAUUCUGUGAUGCAGGAGAAGGUGGGAGGCCUCAGGACAGAAUCAGCAGGUCACCAUGCUUUCCUGCGUCAUCCACCUGUGGGCCUCUAAUGUGUUUCUAUGAAGUUUGCAUUAAAGUUUCAGCCACUAUUUUUCAGAAACAUGGUCAACCUCUCCUUCCCUCCUCUAUCUGCUGAUAGAGUUCUACAGAAAACAAGGGAAUGACUUGAGGAGGGGGAUUCUGAAGGUUGUUGGUGGAUUCCUAGAAUGUAGCCCGCAGAACUGUGCCUGGAACGAUACCGGAUCACUGCAAAAGUACAGCGAACAGGGUCGCUUUGAAUAUUAAAGGAGGACUUUUUCAAAGUGUAUAGAGAGCAGUCAAAAGAUCGCCACAGUUGCUCUGUGUUUUCGUGAGCCAGCUUUCUCGGAAGGACUAAGCCAGUGGAUCACAAACAUCCUGGAGAGCAGUGACUCUGUGAUUCCAUCACAAGAAUAUGAAGGACUGAGAAGAUCUCCAGCUCUGCCCAUUGCACCUUCCCAUUGAGAAGCAGCAUGGCACCCUGGUGGCAGGGGCUGAUACUCAGCCGGGCCAGGGUGCUCUCCUGUUAACCAUAACCAAGCUCACAGGACAUGGGAUGAGCCCACUGUGUGACACAGGGAGCGGGACACAGUCUGUUAAGUCUUGCACAGCCAUGCUCUGCCACGCAGGCAGGCCUUUCCUUGGCCUCCCUCUCCCUGUUCGUGCUCAUGUGAACAUCCACCUACGUGGAUAGACUGGGCUUUGGUUCAUUAUUGCUCUGUGAAUUCCUCGAACUUCCGCAUCUGCCCAACCUCCCCCACCCCAUUGUUUUCAUUGUGUUUCACCAAAUGGAAAUUCUAGAGUAAGCAUGUGAGUCCUCUCCCAAACUUGUUCACUGUUGAGAGUGCUAAAAUGCUAACCCCAGAUGCUAACUGAGGGGUAGGGUUACCUUAUCUUUAGAGCACUGCGAAUUGUAUGUUAAGUGGAACUUAAUGAAAAAAUAGUUAAUUGACCAACAUGAAUAUCCCCUGAACAGAAUCUCCCCUGAACAGAAUCCUACAAUGAAACUAAGGGAGAUAAAUAAAGCUGUUUACCUGAAAGCUCUCUCUAAUCAAGAUCCUUUGAAAUUUAUAAAACAUGGUCAAUAUUUGCACUGGACUUUGUAAAAAUAAAGCUUGAUAAGAGAAGA